Molecule: ribosomal RNA, 235 nt
Filed under: uncultured bacterium
Lineage: Bacteria
Description: partial 16S ribosomal RNA
Rfam family: Bacterial small subunit ribosomal RNA
Source: RNAcentral
CGCACGGGUGAGUAACACGUAGGUAAUGUGCCUUUGGGUGGGGAAUAACUUAGGGAAACUUAAAGCUAAUACCGCAUAAUGCGAUAACUUCUUCGGAAGAUUUGUUAAAGAUUUAUCGCCUGAAGAGCAGCCUGCGGCAGAUUAGCUAGUUGGUAAGGUAACGGCUUACCAAGGCUACGAUCUGUAUCCGACCUGAGAGGGUGGUCGGACACACUGACACUGAAUAACGGGUCAG